GGGGGCGUAGUUCAGAUGGUUAGAAUGCCUGCCUGUCACGCAGGAGGUCGCGGGUUCGAGUCCCGUCGCUCCCG
Molecule: transfer RNA, 74 nt
Filed under: Borrelia miyamotoi
Lineage: Bacteria; Pseudomonadati; Spirochaetota; Spirochaetia; Spirochaetales; Borreliaceae
Also listed under: 1 other name
Description: tRNA-Asp
Rfam family: tRNA
About the family: Transfer RNA (tRNA) molecules are approximately 80 nucleotides in length. Their secondary structure includes four short double-helical elements and three loops (D, anti-codon, and T loops).
Source: RNAcentral